Molecule: ribosomal RNA, 888 nt
Filed under: Gambierdiscus belizeanus
Lineage: Eukaryota; Dinophyceae; Gonyaulacales; Pyrocystaceae
Description: LSU rRNA
Rfam family: Eukaryotic large subunit ribosomal RNA
Source: RNAcentral
CGCUGAAUUUAAGCAUAUAAGUAGGUAGAGGAAUUGACACAAACUUGGCUUCCUCAAUCAGUUGCGAAUGAAAGAGAGAGAUUCUCAGCUUUAUAUUCAAAGGUCUCGGCCUUUGACCUGAAAACCCUGAUGGUGUGCCAAAGGAAGAGGGGUGGAGAGUGGGUACUGCCUUGAAAGAGGGGUGUGCAAGUGGUAACAAGGGUGACAAACCUUUGACACUUGAUGCGUCUUCCUGCAUGGCACCUUGUCUAGAAUCAUGCUCCUUGAAAGUGGAGUGCAAAGUGGGUGGUAAAUCCCACUCAAAGCCAGAUACAGCACUGGGAAAUGUGAACAGGACUUUGGAAAGAGAACUAAAGGAGCCUGAAUGUGCUGAUGUGCAAGCAUACAGGGUGGGAGUGUUUGGAGAGAUUUCCACAUGUGACCCAUGAUUGAGGAUACCCCUUGGGCAAUGGCUCUGUGGCACAAACUGGUGUGACAUGUGUGUAUCUCUCCUUGGGUGCCAGCUGAAGACAGCUGCAGUUUGUACCUUUUGUUGAGUUGGUGUCGGCAGAACAGUGUGGGGAGUGGACCUGCCUCACUGUGCGUGAAGGCAAAUCCUGCCCGGCAGCACAGCUACUGUCAACCUCCGUCUGUGUGACCCGUCUUGAAACACGGACCAAGGAGUCUAGCAACUCUGCAAGGAGUGUGAUUGCUUGUGUACUACAACUCAGUGCCAAUGAAAGUGGAGUCCCAGACCUGUGCAUGAGUGUUCCACCAAUCAGGAGGUUGAGGUUUGAGUCUGAGCACGGUUGCUAGGACCCGAAAGAUGGUGAACUAUGCCUGGCAAGGGUCAAGGCAGGGUAAACUCUGAUGGAGGCCCGCAGCGUUACUGACGUGCAAAUCGUUCGU